CCUACGGGCGGCAGCAGUGAGGAAUAUUGGUCAAUGGACGAGAGUCUGAACCAGCCAAGUAGCGUGAAGGAUGACUGCACUAUGGGUUGUAAACUUCUUUUAUAUGGGAAUAAAAUGUUCCACGUGUGGGAUUUUGUAUGUACCAUAUGAAUAAGGAUCGGCUAACUCCGUGCCAGCAGCCGCGGUAAUACGGAGGAUCCGAGCGUUAUCCGGAUUUAUUGGGUUUAAAGGGAGCGUAGGUGGAUUGUUAAGUCAGUUGUGAAAGGUUGCGGCUCAACCGUAAAAUUGCAGUUGAAACUGGCAGUCUUGAGUACAGUAGAGGUGGGCGGAAUUCGUGGUGUAGCGGUGAAAUGCUUAGAUAUCACGAAGAACUCCGAUUGCGAAGGCAGCUCACUGGACUGCAACUGACACUGAGGCUCGAAAGUGUGGGUAUCAAACAGGAUUAGAUACCCCAGUAGUC
Molecule: ribosomal RNA, 460 nt
Filed under: uncultured bacterium
Lineage: Bacteria
Description: partial 16S ribosomal RNA
Rfam family: Bacterial small subunit ribosomal RNA
Source: RNAcentral